RNAcentral lists this ribosomal RNA (497 nucleotides) under uncultured bacterium. RNAcentral describes it as "partial 16S ribosomal RNA". It matches the Rfam family "Bacterial small subunit ribosomal RNA", at positions 28 to 507 of the family's 1533-position model. The record is from RNAcentral.
GAUGAACGCUGGCGGCGUGCCUAAUACAUGCAAGUCGAGCGAACGGACGAGAAGCUUGCUUCGCUGUCGUUAGCGGAGGACGGGAGAGUAACACGUGGAUCACCUACCUAUAAGACUGGGAUAACUUCGGGACACCGGCGCUUAUACCGGAUAAUCUUUUGAACCGCAUGGUUCAAAAGUGAAAGACGGUCUUGCUGUCACUACUAGAUGGAUCCGCGCUGCAUUAGCUAGUUGGUAGGGUAACGGCUUACCAAGGCAACGAUGCAUAGCCGACCUGAGAGGGUGAUCGGCCACACUGGAGCGGGGACACGGUCCAGAGGCCUACGGGAGGCAGCAGUAGGGAAUCUUCGGCAGUGGGCGAAAGCCUGACGGAGCAACGCCGCGUGAGUGAUGAAGGUCUUCGGAUCGUAAAACUCUGUUAUGAGGGAAGAACAUAUGUGUAAGGAACUGUGCAGAUCUUGACGGUACCUAAUCAGAAAGCCACGGCUAACUACGUG